This 1389-nucleotide ribosomal RNA is filed under the name Streptomyces sp. T4S6. RNAcentral describes it as "bacterial SSU rRNA". It matches the Rfam family "Bacterial small subunit ribosomal RNA". The record is from RNAcentral. Lineage: Bacteria; Bacillati; Actinomycetota; Actinomycetes; Kitasatosporales; Streptomycetaceae.
GGACUAGGGGGGCGUGCUUACACAUGCAGUCCAACGAUGAACCGCUUUCGGGCGGGGAUUAGUGGCGAACGGGUGAGUACACGUGGGCAAUCAGCCCUGCACUCUGGGACAAGCCCUGGAAACGGGGUCUAAUACCGGAUAUGACCGUCUGCCGCAUGGUGGAUGGUGUAAAGCUCCGGCGGUGCAGGAUGAGCCCGCGGCCUAUCAGCUUGUUGGUGAGGUAGUGGCUCACCAAUGCGACGACGGGUAUCCGGCCUGAGAGGGCGACCGGCCACACUGGGACUGAGACACGGCCCAGACUCCUACGGGAGGCAGCAGUGGGGAAUAUUGCACAAUGGGCGAAAGCCUGAUGCAGCGACGCGCGUGAGGGAUGACGCCUUCGGGUUGUAAACCUCUUUCAGCAGGGAAGAAGCGAAAGUGACGGUACCUGCAGAAGAAGCGCCGGCUAACUACGUGCCAGCAGUCGCGGUAAUACGUAGGGCGCAAGCGUUGUCCGGAAUUAUUGGGCGUAAAGAGCUCGUAGGCCGCUUGUCACGUCGGUUGUGAAAGCCCGGGGCUUAACCCCGGGUCUGCAGUCGAUACGGGCAGCUAGAGUUCGGUAGGGGAGAUCGGAAUUCCUGGUGUAGCGGUGAAAUGCGCAGAAUCAGGAGGAACACCGGUGGCGAAGGCGGAUCGCUGGGCCGAUACUGACGCUGAGGAGCGAAAGCGUGGGGAGCGAACAGGAUUAAUACCCUGGUAGUCGACGCCGUAAACGGUGGGCACUAGGUGUGGGCAACAUUCCACGUUGUCCGUGCCGCAGCUAACGCAUUAAGUGCCCCGCCUGGGGAGUACGGCCGCAAGGCUAAAACUCAAAGGAAUUGACGGGGGCCCGCACAAGGGCGGAGCAUGUGGCUUAAUUCGACGCAACGCGAAGAACCUUACCAAGGCUUGACAUACACCGGAAACGUCUGGAGACAGGCGCCCCCUUGUGGUCGGUGUACAGGUGGUGCAUGGCUGUCGUCUGCUCGUGCGUGAGAUGUUGGGUUUAGUCCCGCAACGAGCGCAACCCUUGUCCCGUGUUGCCAGCAGGCCCUUGUGGUGCUGGGGACUCACGGGAGACCGCCGGGGUCAACUCGGAGAAGGUGGGGACGACGUCAAGUCAUCUGCCCCUUAUGUCUUGGGUUGCACACGUGCUACAAUGGCCGGUACAAUGAGCUGCGAUACGUGAGGUGGAGCGAAUCUCAAAAGCCGGUCUCAGUUCGGAUUGGGGUCUGCAACUCGACCCCAUGAGUCGGAGUCGCUAGUAAUCGCAGAUCAGCAUUGCUGCGGUGAAUACGUUCCCGGGCCUUGUACACACCGCCGUCACGUCACGAAGUCGGUAACACCCGAAGCCGGUGGCCCAACCCCCUU